RNAcentral lists this ribosomal RNA (492 nucleotides) under uncultured bacterium. RNAcentral describes it as "partial 16S ribosomal RNA". It matches the Rfam family "Bacterial small subunit ribosomal RNA", at positions 30 to 507 of the family's 1533-position model. The record is from RNAcentral.
AGUGAACGCUGGCGGUAGGCCUAACACAUGCAAGUCGAACGGCAGCACAGUAAGAGCUUGCUCUUACGGGUGGCGAGUGGCGGACGGGUGAGGAAUACAUCGGAAUCUACUUUUUCGUGGGGGAUAACGUAGGGAAACUUACGCUAAUACCGCAUAUGACCUACGGGUGAAAGCAGGGGAUCUUCGGACCUUGCGCGAUUGAAUGAGCCGGCGUCGGAUUAGCUAGUUGGCGAGGUAAAGGCACACCAAGGCGACGAUGCGUAGCUGGUCUGAGAGGGUGAACGGACACGGUGGAAGUGGGAAACGGGCGAGAAUCCGACGGGAGGCAGCAGUGGGGAGUAUACCAAAAUGGGCGGAAGUGUGACCGAGUAAAGCCGCGGGAAGGAUGAAGGUGAUCGGGUUCUAAAGCUCUGUUAUCAGGAAAGAAAAAAAGCGUAAGGAACUAUGCACGUGUUGACGGUACCUAAUAAGAAAGCGACGGCUAACUACGUG